GCGACGCAGAGCGGAACUUCAAAGCCUGUCUCAGUUCGGAUUGGAGUCUGCAACCCGACUCCAUGAAGCUGGAUUCGCUAGUAAUCGCGCAUCAGCCACGGCGCGGUGAAUACGUUCCCGGGCCUUGUACACACCGCCCGUCAAGCCAUGGAAGCCGGGAGUGCCUGAAGUGUGCAACCGCAAGGAGCGUCCUAGGGUAAAACUGGUAAUUGGGGCUAAGUCGUAACAAGGUACC
Molecule: ribosomal RNA, 235 nt
Filed under: uncultured bacterium
Lineage: Bacteria
Description: partial 16S ribosomal RNA
Rfam family: Bacterial small subunit ribosomal RNA
Source: RNAcentral